CUACCACGCGAGUGGAUGCCAAUCCCUAAAACCCCUCUCAGUUCGGAUUGUAGGCUGAAACUCGCCUACAUGAAGCUGGAGUUGCUAGUAAUCGCGAAUCAGCAUGUCGCGGUGAAUACGUUCCCGGGCCUUGUACACACCGCCCGUCACACCAUGAGAGUUGGCAAUACCCAACGUACGUGAUCUAACCCGCAAGGGAGGAAGCGUCCUAAGGUAGGGUCAGCGAUUGGGGUGAAGUCGUAACAAGGUACC
RNAcentral lists this ribosomal RNA (252 nucleotides) under uncultured bacterium. RNAcentral describes it as "partial 16S ribosomal RNA". It matches the Rfam family "Bacterial small subunit ribosomal RNA", at positions 1250 to 1500 of the family's 1533-position model. The record is from RNAcentral.